CCUACGGGAGGCAGCAGUAGGGAAUAUUGCUCAAUGGGGGAAACCCUGAAGCAGCAACGCCGCGUGGAGGAUGAAGGUUUUCGGAUUGUAAACUCCUUUUGUUAGAGAAGAUAAUGACGGUAUCUAACGAAUAAGCACCGGCUAACUCCGUGCCAGCAGCCGCGGUAAUACGGAGGGUGCAAGCGUUAUUCGGAAUCACUGGGCGUAAAGAGCGCGUAGGCGGGAUAGUAAGUCAGAUGUGAAAUGCUUUGGCUUAACCAUAGAACUGCCGUUGAAACUGUUAUUCUAGAGUGAGGGAGAGGUAAGGGGAAUUCGUGGUGUAGGGGUAAAAUCCGUAGAGAUCAAGAGGAAUACUGAUUGCGAAGGCGACCUGCUAGAACGUAACUGACGCUGAUGCGCGAAAGCGUGGGGAGCAAACAGGAUUAGAUACCCUUGUAGUC
Molecule: ribosomal RNA, 440 nt
Filed under: uncultured bacterium
Lineage: Bacteria
Description: partial 16S ribosomal RNA
Rfam family: Bacterial small subunit ribosomal RNA
Source: RNAcentral